Molecule: unclassified non-coding RNA, 272 nt
Filed under: uncultured fungus
Lineage: Eukaryota; Fungi
Description: partial contains small subunit ribosomal RNA, internal transcribed spacer 1, and 5.8S ribosomal RNA
Rfam family: Eukaryotic small subunit ribosomal RNA (bases 1-73)
Source: RNAcentral
ACAAACUUGGUCAUUUAGAGGAAGUAAAAGUCGUAACAAGGUUUCCGUAGGUGAACCUGCGGAAGGAUCAUUACUGUUUAGGUGGAUGCAGCGUAAGCUCAACCCCUAUCCAACCCUUGCUUACAGUACCUUAUGUUGUUUCCUCGGCAGGCUAUGCCUGCCGCAUGGAACCCCUUAAACUCUUUGUAAUAAGCAAUUUCUUCAGUAACAAAUAAUUAUUUACAACUUUCAACAAUGGAUCUCUUGGUUCUGGCAUCGAUGAAGAACGCAGC